AUUGAACGCUGGCGGCAGGCCUAACACAUGCAAGUCGAGCGGAUAAAGGGAGCUUGCUCCUGGCUUCCGUGGCGGACGGGUGAGUAAUUCUUAGGAAUCUGCCUGGUCGUGGGGGCUAGCGUCCGGUAACGGGCGCUAAUACCGUAUACGUCCUGAGGGAGAAAGUGGGGGAUCUUUGGUGCUCGAGCUUUCAGCUGAGCCUAGGUCGGAUUAGCUAGUUGGUGGGGUAAGGGCCUACCAAGGCGACGUUCCGUAGCUGGUCUGAGAGGGUGACCAGUCACACGGGAACUGAGACACGGUCCAGAUUCCUACGGGAGGCAGCAGUGGGGAAUAGUAGACAAUGGGCGAAAGCCUGACCGAGCCAUGCCGCGUGAGUGAUGAAGGUCUUCGGAUAGUAAAGCGCUUUUAUUUGGGAGGAAGGGAAGUGAAUUAAUCCCUUCCUGUCUGGACGUUACCUACGGAAAAAGCCCCGGCUAACUUCGUG
This 484-nucleotide ribosomal RNA is filed under the name uncultured bacterium. RNAcentral describes it as "partial 16S ribosomal RNA". It matches the Rfam family "Bacterial small subunit ribosomal RNA", at positions 30 to 507 of the family's 1533-position model. The record is from RNAcentral.